UGGGGAAUUUUGGACAAUGGGGGAAACCCUGAUCCAGCCAUCCCGCGUGUGCGAUGAAGGCCCUCGGGUUGUAAAGCACUUUUGGCAGGAAAGAAACGUCAUGGGUUAAUACCCCGUGAAACUGACGGUACCUGCAGAAUAAGCACCGGCUAACUACGUGCCAGCAGCCGCGGUAAUACGUAGGGUGCAAGCGUUAAUCGGAAUUACUGGGCGUAAAGCGUGCGCAGGAGGUUCGGAAAGAAGGAUGUGAAAUCCCAGAGCUCAACUUUGGAACUGCAUUUUUAAGUAACGGGCUAGAGUGUGUCAGAGGGAGGGGGAAUACCGCGUGUAGCAGUGAAAUGCGAAGGAAGGCGGAGGAAAACCGAUGGCGAAGGCAGCCUCCUGGGAUAACACUGACGCUAAUGCACGAAAGCGUGGGGAGCAAACAGG
RNAcentral lists this ribosomal RNA (429 nucleotides) under Acidobacteriota bacterium. RNAcentral describes it as "Acidobacteria bacterium partial 16S ribosomal RNA". It matches the Rfam family "Bacterial small subunit ribosomal RNA", at positions 355 to 776 of the family's 1533-position model. Lineage: Bacteria; Pseudomonadati; Acidobacteriota. The record is from RNAcentral.